Long non-coding RNA from Fukomys damarensis (Damara mole-rat), 282 nucleotides. RefSeq lists it as uncharacterized. NCBI's taxonomy places the organism in Eukaryota, Metazoa, Chordata, Mammalia, Rodentia, Bathyergidae. The transcript is spliced from 3 exons. The record is from RefSeq and is a predicted model, not a curated record.
GAUGGCGGGAAGGGAGACAGGCGCGCGCGGGAGGGAAGUGGACGUGGACAGCUCUACCCUGAGUGGCUCUCUGCUUCCUGCUGCCAUGUGCCUCUUGCCAUGCCACCCUAUCUUGAAGCCAGCGAACUAUGGACUGAAACCUGAAACCUGUACAAACUCUGCCCAUAAUGUAGGAUAUAAAACCAACAGAAAGGAGCCGCUAAGGUCCCUCGCUUGGUUGCUUUGCUACCUUCUGUCUGCCAUGAGCUGUUUCUCCUCUGCGAUGCCCUUCUGCCAUGACAC